Molecule: long non-coding RNA, 357 nt
Filed under: Hordeum vulgare
Lineage: Eukaryota; Viridiplantae; Streptophyta; Magnoliopsida; Poales; Poaceae
Description: long non-coding RNA (HVUL_LNC010893)
Source: RNAcentral
AAGUACUGUGUGGAACAGAGGGCUUUUCUUGAUGAGAUGAUCAGGAAAAGCGAAGAAGAGAAACUUCGACUGGCUGAGAUUUACAGACAGCGGAAGGAGGCCCAUGAUGCUGAGAGGGAGAGAAAGAAAGAAAGAAAGGACUCGUACGGCCAAGGCAGCAGAAGAAGCUGGUGAUGGAAAAGGAAAAUAUCCACGUUGGACUCAAUAGAUUUAUUUUAUUGUUUCUUAAUUUCUGCCAUCUAAAACAAAUGACCCAAAGGCCAAAAGAAAAUUUGUCUAACAUAUUGAACUACACAAAGAAAUUAUCUAACAUCUAAUCCGAUCCCUAAAACUAAGACAAAAUCAUCUAAUCCUAUC